AUUGAACGCUGGCGGCAUGCUUUACACAUGCAAGUCGAGCGGCAGCGCGGGCUUCGCCCUUGCGGCGAGUGGCGAACGGGUGAGUAAUGCAUCGGAACGUGCCCAGUAGUGGGGGAUAGCCCGGCGAAAGCCGGAUUAAUACCGCAUACGACCUGAGGGUGAAAGCGGGGGACCGUAAGACCUCGCGCUAUUGGAUCGGCCGAUGUCGGAUUAGCUAGUUGGUGGGGUAAAGGCUUACCAAGGCGACGAUCCGUAGCUGGUCUGAGAGGACGACCAGCCACACUGGAACUGAGACACGGCCCAGACUCCUACGGGAGGCAGCAGUGGGGAAUUUUGGACAAUGGGGGAAAGCCUGAUCCAGCCAUGCCGCGUGCGGGAAGAAGGCCUUCGGGUUGUAAAGCGCUUUUGUUCGGGAAGAAAUCCUGUGGGCUAAUACCCCGGGGGGAUGACGGUACCGGAAGAAUAAGCACCGGCUAACUACGUG
Molecule: ribosomal RNA, 484 nt
Filed under: uncultured bacterium
Lineage: Bacteria
Description: partial 16S ribosomal RNA
Rfam family: Bacterial small subunit ribosomal RNA
Source: RNAcentral